AAAACACAAGGCAAGAUGGAAAGAAGAGAUAAAUAAGAUG
RNAcentral lists this non-coding RNA (40 nucleotides) under Trypanosoma brucei brucei. Lineage: Eukaryota; Euglenozoa; Kinetoplastea; Trypanosomatida; Trypanosomatidae. The record is from RNAcentral.